RNAcentral lists this ribosomal RNA (390 nucleotides) under uncultured bacterium. Its description in RNAcentral is "bacterial SSU rRNA". It matches the Rfam family "Bacterial small subunit ribosomal RNA", at positions 618 to 1009 of the family's 1533-position model. The record is from RNAcentral.
AAAUUGCCAUUGAUACUGCACUUCUUGAGUUCGGCUGAGGUAGGCGGAAUGAGUAAUGUAGCGGUGAAAUGCUUAGAUAUUACUCAGAACACCGAUUGCGUAGGCAGCUUACCAAACCGACACUGACGCUGAGGCACGAAAGCGUGGGGAGCGAACAGGAUUAGAUACCCUGGUAGUCCACGCCGUAAACUUUGAUUACUCGUUGUUGGCAAUACACAGUCAGCGACUGAGCGAAAGCAUUAAGUAAUCCACCUGGGGAGUACGUCAGCAAUGAUGAAACUCAAAGGAAUUGACGGGGGCCCGCACAAGCGGAGGAACAUGUGGUUUAAUUCGAUGAUACGCGAGGAACCUUACCUGGGCUUAAAUGUAGAGUGCAUAGAGUGGAAACAC